AGGACGAACGCUGGCGGCAUGCCUAACACAUGCAAGUCGAACGGAGUAAUGACUUCGGUUAUUACUAGUGGCGAACGGGUGAGUAACACGUGAAUAAUCUGCCCUGUACGAUGGGAUAACAGCUGGAAACGGCUGCUAAUACCGUAUAUGACCACGCCGAGGCAUCUCGGAGGGGUGAAAGCGCUUAAGCGGUACAGGAUGAGUUCGCGUCCAAUUAGCUAGUUGGUGAGGUAACGGCCCACCAAGGCGACGAUUGGUAGCCGACCUGAGAGGGUGAUCGGCCACACUGGAACUGAGACACGGUCCAGACUCCUACGGGAGGCAGCAGUGGGGAAUAUUGGGCAAUGGAGGAAACUCUUUAACCCCCAGCAAUGCCGCGUGAGUGAUGAAGGUCUUCGGAUUGUAAAGCUCUUUGAUUGGGGACGAAUAAAUGACGGUACCCAAGGAACAAGCCCCGGCUAACUAUGUGCCAGCCGCUGC
This 480-nucleotide ribosomal RNA is filed under the name uncultured bacterium. RNAcentral describes it as "bacterial SSU rRNA". It matches the Rfam family "Bacterial small subunit ribosomal RNA", at positions 26 to 518 of the family's 1533-position model. The record is from RNAcentral.